RNAcentral lists this ribosomal RNA (369 nucleotides) under uncultured organism. Its description in RNAcentral is "bacterial SSU rRNA". It matches the Rfam family "Bacterial small subunit ribosomal RNA", at positions 526 to 896 of the family's 1533-position model. The record is from RNAcentral.
CGUAGGGCGCAAGCGUUGUCCGGAUUCACUGGGUGUAAAGGGUGCGCAGGCGGACUGGCAAGUCAGAGGUGAAAUCUCACAGCUCAACUGUGAAACUGCCUUUGAUACUGCUGGUCUUGAGUCAGGGAGAGGUUGAUGGAAUUCCAGGUGUAGCGGUGAAAUGCGUAGAUAUCUGGAAGAACACCGGUGGCGAAGGCGGUCAACUGGCCCUGAACUGACGCUCGAGGCACGAAAGCGUGGGGAUCAAACAGGAUUAGAUACCCUGGUAGUCCACGCCCUAAACGAUGAAUACUUGGUGUUGGCUUUUUUUAGUCAGUGCCGAAGGAAACCUGAUAAGUAUUCCACCUGGGGAGUACGCUCGCAAGGGUG